GUCUGGUGGGUAGUUUGACUGGGGCGGUCUCCUCCUAAAGAGUAACGGAGGAGCACGAAGGUUGGCUAAUCCUGGUCGGACAUCAGGAGGUUAGUGCAAUGGCAUAAGCCAGCUUGACUGCGAGCGUGACGGCGCGAGCAGGUGCGAAAGCAGGUCAUAGUGAUCCGGUGGUUCUGAAUGGAAGGGCCAUCGCUCAACGGAUAAAAGGUACUCCGGGGAUAACAGGCUGAUACCGCCCAAGAGUUCAUAUCGACGGCGGUGUUUGGCACCUCGAUGUCGGCUCAUCACAUCCUGGGGCUGAAGUAGGUCCCAAGGGUAUGGCUGUUCGCCAUUUAAAGUGGUACGCGAGCUGGGUUUAGAACGUCGUGAGACAGUUCGGUCCCUAUCUGCCGUGGGCGCUGGAGAACUGAGGGGGGCUGCUCCUAGUACGAGAGGACCGGAGUGGACGCAUCACUGGUGUUCGGGUUGUCAUGCCAAUGGCACUGCCCGGUAGCUAAAUGCGGAAGAGAUAAGUGCUGAAAGCAUCUAAGCACGAAACUUGCCCCGAGAUGAGUUCUCCCUGACUCCUUGAGAGUCCUGAAGGAACGUUGAAGACGACGACGUUGAUAGGCCGGGUGUGUAAGCGCAGCGAUGCGUUGAGCUAACCGGUACUAAUGAACCGUGAGGCUUAACCUU
This 675-nucleotide ribosomal RNA is filed under the name Escherichia coli. RNAcentral's name for it is "partial 23S ribosomal RNA". It matches the Rfam family "Bacterial large subunit ribosomal RNA", at positions 2256 to 2925 of the family's 2925-position model. The record is from RNAcentral. Lineage: Bacteria; Pseudomonadati; Pseudomonadota; Gammaproteobacteria; Enterobacterales; Enterobacteriaceae.